This 447-nucleotide ribosomal RNA is filed under the name uncultured bacterium. Its description in RNAcentral is "SSU rRNA". It matches the Rfam family "Bacterial small subunit ribosomal RNA", at positions 26 to 518 of the family's 1533-position model. The record is from RNAcentral.
AGAACGAACGCUGGCGGCAGGCUUAACACAUGCAAGUCGAGCGGGCGUAGCAAUACGUCAGCGGCAGACGGGUGAGUAACGCGUGGGAACAUACCUUUUGGUUCGGAACAACCCAGGGAAACUUGGGCUAAUACCGGAUAAGCCCUUACGGGGAAAGAUUUAUCGCCGAAAGAUUGGCCCGCGUCUGAUUAGCUAGUUGGUGAGGUAACGGCUCACCAAGGCGACGAUCAGUAGCUGGUCUGAGAGGAUGAUCAGCCACAUUGGGACUGAGACACGGCCCAAACUCCUACGGGAGGCAGCAGUGGGGAAUAUUGGACAAUGGGCGCAAGCCUGAUCCAGCCAUGCCGCGUGAGUGAUGAAGGCCCUAGGGUUGUAAAGCUCUUUUGUGCGGGAAGAUAAUGACGGUACGCAAGAAUAAGCCCCGGCUAACUUCGUGCCAGCAGCCGC